GGCGCGGCUGGAAGAACCAGACUGAGAAAGUGCCACAGGGCGGGGGCCGCAUCCGCCCCUCGGCUUCUGGUUACUGACCCGACGGCUUUGUGAGUGAAAGUGAAGAGACACUUCGAGGCAGGAGGUCCUGGAACCAAUCCCCUCUGAUACUGAGAGACAACUAUUACACAAGAGAAAUAUUCUACCAUUCACAAAAUCUCGUUUAAGUGUUGUGAAAUACAAACACCAGGGAAUCAAGAACUUUAGAAAAUUGUGGCUGUGUUCCCAUAUGUGGUACAAAGAACCAGUGAGUCCCAUUUGUUGUGGUUCCUGCAUUCGAUGACUCCAGAUGUGCCACCACCGAGCUAGUCUUAUGACAACCUAGAAGGCAAAUUGGGAUGGCCCUAUAUUUGUCACUGAGAGCAGAAGGGUUGAGAACUUAGAUCCUGACAGGAGGCCCACCUUUAUUGGAGAAAUGGCUCUGCAACUUAGCUCAUGUAAGACUGCUGGGAUUUGAAAUUUAUCCUAUUAUUUGAAGACUGAAAUCAAAAUAUGAAGGUGGAGCAUCAUGUGUGCCUUCUGUCUUGUUCUCUACUAGGGUGUAAACCAUUUAACUAAAAAUAGUCUCCAAUUUGACACCUUCCCAACAUUUCACUAGUAUACUCCAAAUCUCCAUGCAGGGUUACAGACCUAUUUCAGCUGGCUCCAUUUACUCUGAGGCAGAUAAAGCUGAGAUUGCAACAUCAGAAGCAGUUCAACCAAUCAUUAUGUACAAACCUCAGCCCAUUUGUAUAAUGCAAUCCUUCUGGUAGUAAUGACACAAAACAUGCCUAUAGGGACGAUCACAACCCUGUCAAAGUCCCAAGUCAUCUGUGGCACCAGGGCCACAGAACUUCUUACCACUUGGAAGCAAAAUAGUUGCUUUAAUGGUAACCAAAUGCCCUCCUUCAAGACAGUAUUUCAAGAAGGAGGAGUAUACGUAUAUUAUACAAACAUAUCCAAUCCCUUUAGAAGAUAAUUAUCAAUAUCAUGCAGGGAAGCUGGAACACACACACAAAAUCGAGUACUAUCUAGAAGAUCAAGCCACAAAUCUCAAGAGAAGCAGUAAGUGUCCAGGGCCUGGGAUUUUUUAUCUUGGCCGUGAGAAUAGCACAGCCCAUGGUGCAGAAACGACAGGCUAGUUGUCCAGCAUAACAUGGUGUUUUAUUUCACCAUAGUAGACUGCUGGGAAAUCUCUGGAGGCCUUGGCAGCUGUGUCUUGUCUUUAAUAUGAAGCCUGGGGGGGAAGACAGAGAGAGAGACUCAUAAUUCACAAGAGGCCCAGCCGUAAGAAAGCCAUUCUAAAUAACUGAAUCAGGCACCGAGGAGGAGCGACUAUUCCAUUCCUAAGUCAAGAAUGCUUUUUGUCUUUCCUUCUCUCCUAAUUGGCUCAUGAAAAGAUCAUUUAUGUGUGGUAGAAUCAGUACAUCAGAGGCAGCUUCUGUUUCUCUCCAUUUCUCCUCCCCACUGCUGCUGUCCUGUAAAAAGACCCUUUGUUACAGACUGAAACAGCAGAUGCAGCUCAGAUAUUAUCUUGAAUAAUUUUGUGGGGAGCAUUUUAUCUUGAAUUGGUGUAAUGCCAUUUUCACGUGGAAAGUGGUUCUAUGUCUGAUCCAAAUGUUCUAGAAACUUGAGAGACCCAUAUGGCAAAGAAGUACUUUACACACAUAUCUCUUUAAAGUAGUGCAGGGUAUGGGAAGAACUGAUAAUGCUGAUUAAAUGAUAUGUAGACGAAAUGAAUGUAAACUGGCAUCAUGGGCUGAGUGAGUCAGGGGAGGCCUUGUGGAAGAGAUAAGAGUAAUAGAAAAUGCUAGGUCAAGUAUGUGUAGAGGCCUGGAGAGAGGAAUGGACUUAGUGGGUCCAAAAGUAAGAAGACUUGUUUGUUGUGAAUACAGAGUUAGAAGUAGGUAGAAGAAAAAGUUGGUCGGGUCCUGCAGAGAUUAAAAAUCCGGUUUAAGAUUUUAGAUUGUUUCAAUCAUCAAUUAGUUGGUGUCUGUGUUCAUUGUGGAAAUGCUUUAAAUAUAGAUAACAAAAAGGAUAAUAACUUACAAUCCUACCAGUCGUAGGAUGAUGAUGGCAGACAAUGUGGUGCACAUUCUUUCAUAUAUUUUAUUGUCCUAGUUUAAGGUUCCCUAUAGGCAGAUCCUGAGAUGAAGAUUUAAAUGCACACCACUUAUUGAGGAGGUGAUUUCAGGAAACACCGGCAGGAGAGUGGGGCAGUAUGACAGGGAAAGAAAGGAAGCAAAAAAAUAAAGGGCAUGUUCUCAAAGGAAUCAGUUGGAGAGCAGUCAUGCUGGAGACACUGGAAGAGAGUAUAGAAGAUGUCUCAAUGUAGUCCUGCCUAGGGAUCAGGAAGUCGAAGUAUUUAUCCACUAAUUCUUGUCAAUUGAGAAUUUAUUUGAGGGGCAUUAACUCUCCAAAACGGUCUCCCUGUGCCGGAAAAAUAACCCUAAGCAGAAUGUUGUAGGUAUUUGCAGCAAAUAGCCCUCAGUGUGUCCUGAGGAUUGGUGUAGUACAUAAAUAUACAAAAUUAUUUUUAUUUAUAAAAAAGCUUUCUAUGCAUCAGGCUCUGUACUGUGUGUUUUACUUGCAUUCACUCAAAAUAGUUCUCACAGAAGCCCUAUGAGGUCGGCGCUACUCUUAUCCCCUGAGGAUUAGAGGCUGGGAGAAGUAUAUAUGAGAGUCAUAUGGAGAUUAAAUACCUGAAGUCAUGAGGAGAUGAUGCACUCUCCAAGAGAGCUUUGAUGACAGCCUAUUUAUGCAGCUUCUGUCAUCUGUACACAUUCUCCUCUUUCUGUCAACAAAGAGUUUUUCUUUUGCAAUUGUAAAUGUCCUCUGUUUUCAGAGACUUUUGUUGGAAAACAAAACAAAAUCUUGAGACAUGAAGGAUCUGUAAUGGACACCUGUCGAUUGUGUCUGUUCAGCAGCUCCUCUCCCACCUGUCUUCCAGUACAACACCUUAUUUCAUUGGAGAGAAAGGUUCUACCUCUUCUCCUUAAGGUUUUAGUGGACAGCCAAACCAGUCUUCAGUCUACAGGGUGAGUAUGAGAUCCAGGCUUGACCAACCAUAGUCACCACCCACUUGGCUACAUCAAAUUGAGCCAGAAAGAGCCUUUCCCUGGGAAUUUAUAUGUAGACUUUGGGAAAAGGAAGCUUUCUUCUCUGAUGUUACUAGACAGCGAUGACAAAACCAGUGCUUGUCUGGACCAUGCUCCACUUCCUCUCCACAGCAAGAUGAGCAAGCUCAUCUGUAGUAGGAAAGAAUGUAGGAAUGCAUCCCCUGCACAGAGAAAAGCGGAGGAGAGAAUGAGAGAGAGAGAGAGAGAGAGAGAGAGAGAGAGAGAGAGAGAGAGAUCUGACUGUACUGCUAAGUCCCUGCAAUCCCCACCAAGGUCUGCAAGGUCUACUUCCCCUAGACUACAACUACCCAUUACUUGUGCCAAAUAUUCAAUAAAUCGUAACCUUAGCAGGGAGAGGGAUGAAGAGAGAUUGAUUAAUGGGUAUGUAUAUACAGUAUGAUAGAAGAAAUAAGACCUAGUAUUUCAUCAGUCAGUAGUAUGACUAUAGUUUACAAUAAUCUAUUGUAUAUUUCAAUAUAGCUAGAAGAGAAGAAUUAGAAUGUUUCUAGCAUAAAGAAAACACAAAUAUUUAAGGUGAUGGGAAUCUCAGUUACACUGAUUUUAUCUUUACAAGGCAUAUGAAUGUUUUAAAUUGUCAUAGUACCCCCAAAAUAUGUACAUGUUAUGUAUCAAUAAAACACAAAAUUAAAAAAUAAAUAUUUAAACAAUCAUA
RNAcentral lists this long non-coding RNA (3810 nucleotides) under Homo sapiens (human). Its description in RNAcentral is "non-protein coding SEPT7-AS1:7". Lineage: Eukaryota; Metazoa; Chordata; Mammalia; Primates; Hominidae. The record is from RNAcentral.